ACGCUCAAGUCAGUACUCUGCUUCAACAGAAAUGGAGCACUCAAAUGAGAUUUUAGCAGAGUUUAGAGAUAGUGCUUAGAGCUUAGAGGAGAACGUAUCUGGGGUGUCUCUUUUAUAGAUGGGAGAGCGUAACCGAUUGACAGCGAUGUCCAUAACUGCCUAGUAGUGGGCCGUUCGGGGCCACUUGGAGUUUGUUACAGAGAGUAAUGGUGUCCAUUGUCGCGACUUGUCGGAGAGUGGUGGGGCCACAUGGAGUUUGUUACAGAGAGU
RNAcentral lists this long non-coding RNA (270 nucleotides) under Elaeis guineensis (African oil palm). Its description in RNAcentral is "long non-coding RNA (EGUI_LNC050624)". The record is from RNAcentral. Lineage: Eukaryota; Viridiplantae; Streptophyta; Magnoliopsida; Arecales; Arecaceae.